RNAcentral lists this ribosomal RNA (388 nucleotides) under uncultured bacterium. Its description in RNAcentral is "bacterial SSU rRNA". It matches the Rfam family "Bacterial small subunit ribosomal RNA", at positions 30 to 417 of the family's 1533-position model. The record is from RNAcentral.
AUUGAACGCUGGCGGCAUGCCUUACACAUGCAAGUCGAACGGCAGCACGGGAGCAAUCCUGGUGGCGAGUGGCGAACGGGUGAGUAAUAUAUCGGAACGUGCCCAGUCGUGGGGGAUAACGUAGCGAAAGUUACGCUAAUACCGCAUACGAUCUAUGGAUGAAAGCGGGGGGAUCGCAAGACCUCGCGCGAUUGGAGCGGCCGAUAUCAGAUUAGGUAGUUGGUGAGGUAAAGGCUCACCAAGCCUUCGAUCUGUAGCUGGUCUGAGAGGACGACCAGCCACACUGGGACUGAGACACGGCCCAGACUCCUACGGGAGGCAGCAGUGGGGAAUUUUGGACAAUGGGGGCAACCCUGAUCCAGCCAUGCCGCGUGUGUGAAGAAGGCCU